Fukomys damarensis (Damara mole-rat) is the source of this 367-nucleotide long non-coding RNA. RefSeq lists it as uncharacterized. The record is from RefSeq and is a predicted model, not a curated record. Lineage: Eukaryota; Metazoa; Chordata; Mammalia; Rodentia; Bathyergidae. The transcript has 3 exons.
UUGGAGGAAGGAGAAAAGACAGUGAAGGACCUUCAUACUGAACUGAGUGUGUGUGACUGCUAGGUAGGUUCCAAUAUUUCAUGCAGUCCUGAGGAUCAGAAGGUAUUUCCCUAUCUUCAUGGAUGAAGAAGCCUAGAUUCAGCGAAGUCAAGCAUCCCAUGAGGCACCAAGCACCCUGAAUCUGGUGGGGACGGUGUCCCUGGACUUUGCAGCACAGAUAUUCCAACUUUUGCUCUGUCAUGUGCAUCUACCAUGACAUAGUAUCUCACUAUGGUCCCCAAAGCAACGGCGAGAACCAACCACGGACUGCAACCUUCAAGAGAGUGAGUCAAAAGAAACUUCCUCUUCUUAAGCUGAGUAUCUUAGU